Molecule: ribosomal RNA, 2921 nt
Filed under: Staphylococcus aureus M0333
Lineage: Bacteria; Bacillati; Bacillota; Bacilli; Caryophanales; Staphylococcaceae
Description: bacterial LSU rRNA
Rfam family: Bacterial large subunit ribosomal RNA
Source: RNAcentral
UUAAGUUAUUAAGGGCGCACGGUGGAUGCCUUGGCACUAGAAGCCGAUGAAGGACGUUACUAACGACGAUAUGCUUUGGGGAGCUGUAAGUAAGCUUUGAUCCAGAGAUUUCCGAAUGGGGAAACCCAGCAUGAGUUAUGUCAUGUUAUCGAUAUGUGAAUACAUAGCAUAUCAGAAGGCACACCCGGAGAACUGAAACAUCUUAGUACCCGGAGGAAGAGAAAGAAAAUUCGAUUCCCUUAGUAGCGGCGAGCGAAACGGGAAGAGCCCAAACCAACAAGCUUGCUUGUUGGGGUUGUAGGACACUCUAUACGGAGUUACAAAGGACGACAUUAGACGAAUCAUCUGGAAAGAUGAAUCAAAGAAGGUAAUAAUCCUGUAGUCGAAAAUGUUGUCUCUCUUGAGUGGAUCCUGAGUACGACGGAGCACGUGAAAUUCCGUCGGAAUCUGGGAGGACCAUCUCCUAAGGCUAAAUACUCUCUAGUGACCGAUAGUGAACCAGUACCGUGAGGGAAAGGUGAAAAGCACCCCGGAAGGGGAGUGAAAUAGAACCUGAAACCGUGUGCUUACAAGUAGUCAGAGCCCGUUAAUGGGUGAUGGCGUGCCUUUUGUAGAAUGAACCGGCGAGUUACGAUUUGAUGCAAGGUUAAGCAGUAAAUGUGGAGCCGUAGCGAAAGCGAGUCUGAAUAGGGCGUUUAGUAUUUGGUCGUAGACCCGAAACCAGGUGAUCUACCCUUGGUCAGGUUGAAGUUCAGGUAACACUGAAUGGAGGACCGAACCGACUUACGUUGAAAAGUGAGCGGAUGAACUGAGGGUAGCGGAGAAAUUCCAAUCGAACCUGGAGAUAGCUGGUUCUCUCCGAAAUAGCUUUAGGGCUAGCCUCAAGUGAUGAUUAUUGGAGGUAGAGCACUGUUUGGACGAGGGGCCCCUCUCGGGUUACCGAAUUCAGACAAACUCCGAAUGCCAAUUAAUUUAACUUGGGAGUCAGAACAUGGGUGAUAAGGUCCGUGUUCGAAAGGGAAACAGCCCAGACCACCAGCUAAGGUCCCAAAAUAUAUGUUAAGUGGAAAAGGAUGUGGCGUUGCCCAGACAACUAGGAUGUUGGCUUAGAAGCAGCCAUCAUUUAAAGAGUGCGUAAUAGCUCACUAGUCGAGUGACACUGCGCCGAAAAUGUACCGGGGCUAAACAUAUUACCGAAGCUGUGGAUUGUCCUUUGGACAAUGGUAGGAGAGCGUUCUAAGGGCGUUGAAGCAUGAUCGUAAGGACAUGUGGAGCGCUUAGAAGUGAGAAUGCCGGUGUGAGUAGCGAAAGACGGGUGAGAAUCCCGUCCACCGAUUGACUAAGGUUUCCAGAGGAAGGCUCGUCCGCUCUGGGUUAGUCGGGUCCUAAGCUGAGGCCGACAGGCGUAGGCGAUGGAUAACAGGUUGAUAUUCCUGUACCACCUAUAAUCGUUUUAAUCGAUGGGGGGACGCAGUAGGAUAGGCGAAGCGUGCGAUUGGAUUGCACGUCUAAGCAGUAAGGCUGAGUAUUAGGCAAAUCCGGUACUCGUUAAGGCUGAGCUGUGAUGGGGAGAAGACAUUGUGUCUUCGAGUCGUUGAUUUCACACUGCCGAGAAAAGCCUCUAGAUAGAAAAUAGGUGCCCGUACCGCAAACCGACACAGGUAGUCAAGAUGAGAAUUCUAAGGUGAGCGAGCGAACUCUCGUUAAGGAACUCGGCAAAAUGACCCCGUAACUUCGGGAGAAGGGGUGCUCUUUAGGGUUAACGCCCAGAAGAGCCGCAGUGAAUAGGCCCAAGCGACUGUUUAUCAAAAACACAGGUCUCUGCUAAACCGUAAGGUGAUGUAUAGGGGCUGACGCCUGCCCGGUGCUGGAAGGUUAAGAGGAGUGGUUAGCUUCUGCGAAGCUACGAAUCGAAGCCCCAGUAAACGGCGGCCGUAACUAUAACGGUCCUAAGGUAGCGAAAUUCCUUGUCGGGUAAGUUCCGACCCGCACGAAAGGCGUAACGAUUUGGGCACUGUCUCAACGAGAGACUCGGUGAAAUCAUAGUACCUGUGAAGAUGCAGGUUACCCGCGACAGGACGGAAAGACCCCGUGGAGCUUUACUGUAGCCUGAUAUUGAAAUUCGGCACAGCUUGUACAGGAUAGGUAGGAGCCUUUGAAACGUGAGCGCUAGCUUACGUGGAGGCGCUGGUGGGAUACUACCCUAGCUGUGUUGGCUUUCUAACCCGCACCACUUAUCGUGGUGGGAGACAGUGUCAGGCGGGCAGUUUGACUGGGGCGGUCGCCUCCUAAAAGGUAACGGAGGCGCUCAAAGGUUCCCUCAGAAUGGUUGGAAAUCAUUCAUAGAGUGUAAAGGCAUAAGGGAGCUUGACUGCGAGACCUACAAGUCGAGCAGGGUCGAAAGACGGACUUAGUGAUCCGGUGGUUCCGCAUGGAAGGGCCAUCGCUCAACGGAUAAAAGCUACCCCGGGGAUAACAGGCUUAUCUCCCCCAAGAGUUCACAUCGACGGGGAGGUUUGGCACCUCGAUGUCGGCUCAUCGCAUCCUGGGGCUGUAGUCGGUCCCAAGGGUUGGGCUGUUCGCCCAUUAAAGCGGUACGCGAGCUGGGUUCAGAACGUCGUGAGACAGUUCGGUCCCUAUCCGUCGUGGGCGUAGGAAAUUUGAGAGGAGCUGUCCUUAGUACGAGAGGACCGGGAUGGACAUACCUCUGGUGUACCAGUUGUCGUGCCAACGGCAUAGCUGGGUAGCUAUGUGUGGACGGGAUAAGUGCUGAAAGCAUCUAAGCAUGAAGCCCCCCUCAAGAUGAGAUUUCCCAACUUCGGUUAUAAGAUCCCUCAAAGAUGAUGAGGUUAAUAGGUUCGAGGUGGAAGCAUGGUGACAUGUGGAGCUGACGAAUACAAAUCGAUCGAAGACUUAAUCAA